Molecule: ribosomal RNA, 351 nt
Filed under: Triticum aestivum (bread wheat)
Lineage: Eukaryota; Viridiplantae; Streptophyta; Magnoliopsida; Poales; Poaceae
Description: partial small subunit ribosomal RNA
Source: RNAcentral
CUUCGGGCUCGACCUUGCCCUCCUCCUGACCGCUAUUCUCCUAGCCGAUACGGCCUUUCGGUUGUACUUGAGCCUACCUCUUAUCGUGAUGCUGUUGUUCAUCCUGAAUGGCAGUUUGCGAUGGCAGAGGAGAUUGCCGCACUUGAGCGCAAUGGCACAUGGGAUCUGGUUUCUCUUCCUCCCCGUGUUCGUCCCAUCACUUGUAAGUGGGUCUAUAAGAUUAAGACUCGCUCUGAUGGUUCUCUUGAGCGUUAUAAAGCUCGUCUUGUGGCUCGUGGCUUUCAGCAGGAGCAUGGUCGUGAUUAUGAUGAGACUUUUGCUCCUGUGGCCCAUAUGACCACUGUCCGCACA